AAUUGAGAAGCGAAUAUCGCAUUUAGUUUCGACCUAGACCUUGGUGAUAAUUAUCACCCUCAAUUA
Molecule: transfer RNA, 66 nt
Filed under: Plesionika edwardsii
Lineage: Eukaryota; Metazoa; Arthropoda; Malacostraca; Decapoda; Pandalidae
Description: tRNA-Arg
Source: RNAcentral